GGCGGGGUGGCAAUAAUGCAAGUCCCGCGGACUCUUUCUGGGGUCAGCAGCGGACGGGUGAUUACACGUGGGUAACCUGCCGGACAGACCGGGAUAACGCCUGGAAUCGGGUGCUAAUCCCGGGUAGAUUCUCUCUUCGCAUGGAGGGGGAAGGGAAGGUGGCGCCCGUCACCGCUGUUCGAGGGGCCCGCGGCGCAUUAGCUCGAUUGGCGGGGUAAGGGCCCACCAAGGCGACUAUGCGUAGCCGACCUGAGAGGGUGAGCGGCCACACUGGGACUGAGACACGGCCCAGACUCCUACGGGAGGCUGCAGUAGGGAAUCUUCUGCAAUGGGCGACAGCCUGACCGAGCAACGCCGCGUGAGUGAAGACGGUCUUCGGAUUGUAAAAGCUCUGUCUUGCAGGACGAGCGACAAGGAGAGGGUAUGCUCCUUGAGAGACGGUACCGCAUGUAGGAACCCCCGGCUGACUACCUUUCCAUCUGUCGCGGUUAA
This 492-nucleotide ribosomal RNA is filed under the name uncultured bacterium. Its description in RNAcentral is "bacterial SSU rRNA". It matches the Rfam family "Bacterial small subunit ribosomal RNA", at positions 38 to 524 of the family's 1533-position model. The record is from RNAcentral.